CCAUCCGUUCUUGCCUCUGUCCCACCACGUGCAGGUGAGCCUCCUACAUGGUGCUGCUUUCUAGUCGGCCGUCUUGGCCCCACCCCUAGUUUUGCAUGGCUGGGAGGCCUCAGGAAACUUAAAAUCGUGGCGCAAGGCAAAGGGAAAGCAACGCACCUUCUUCACAAGGCAGCAGGAGGGAGCUGGAGUGAUUUUCUAAGAAUAAUUCUGGCCAAACUUUCAUGCACUCCUGCAGCCAAACUCCGUUUGGAUCUAUUCAGGCAGGAAUCAUAUUUCAGCUCCUUAACUCUCAUAAGUGGAAACUGACACCAACUCAUUAUAAAACCUAAGUGGAAA
This 336-nucleotide non-coding RNA is filed under the name Pan troglodytes (chimpanzee). The record is from RNAcentral. Lineage: Eukaryota; Metazoa; Chordata; Mammalia; Primates; Hominidae.